This 566-nucleotide long non-coding RNA is filed under the name Bos taurus (domestic cattle). RNAcentral's name for it is "long non-coding RNA NONBTAT023854". The record is from RNAcentral. Lineage: Eukaryota; Metazoa; Chordata; Mammalia; Artiodactyla; Bovidae.
UUGCAGGGAUUAAAAACAACUUCACUCAGAAUAAAAGUGAAAAAAUGUAGGCUUUCUUUGAAAUUCUUUGAUUCUGAGUUAUUUUUAAAUGAUUAGUAAAUAUUCCCUUGUCCCACAAGAAAAAAACUCUAUGUAAGAAAGCUGUAAUAGUGCAAAAUUCAGUGUGUAAGUAAUGGCCACACAAUUUUCCUCUUCAGGCUCAAAUACUGAAUUUAAUUGAACUGGUUGUCUAGAUUUUUAGCCUAAUCUUCCUGUGAGUAGCCCUCGAAAUUCUAACAAAAAGCAAGGUACCUUUCCCAAAACUGUUUGCUUGACAGAGGCAAACCACACUGCCAUAGGAGGACUAAGUGAAUGCUGAAAAAUGUUUUCAGCGUGCUCCAGACAAAGCUGGGGUUUGUUUAGACAAUCAGGGAUCAAUAAUGUUACACAGUGAAACCUGCAUCCCCUGGUUCCCAAGAACUUUUCAAGGACACAUCUCAUUUGGCUAUUUGACAGGUAUGAUCCUGUAUUUUAGAUAAAUAGCUCAAUGAAACAAUCAUGUGAUCAGAAGAGAAAUUCAGAAGAUC